GGCAGUUCUCAAGUGACACCCCCUGGAAUUGGGCUCCCUUCUCUCUGGUUCCAGGUGCAUCACCCGAGAACCGCA
Molecule: non-coding RNA, 75 nt
Organism: Myotis davidii
Lineage: Eukaryota; Metazoa; Chordata; Mammalia; Chiroptera; Vespertilionidae
Source: Rfam